RNAcentral lists this ribosomal RNA (454 nucleotides) under uncultured bacterium. RNAcentral describes it as "partial 16S ribosomal RNA". It matches the Rfam family "Bacterial small subunit ribosomal RNA", at positions 28 to 507 of the family's 1533-position model. The record is from RNAcentral.
GAUGAACGCUGGCAGCAUGCUUAACACAUGCAAGUCGACUUGAACUGCGGUUUGUGUGGCGGACGGGUGAGUAACGCGUAAAGAACUUGCCUCACAGAUAGGGACAACAUUUGGAAACGAAUGCUAAUACCUGAUAUUAUGAUUAUAGGGCAUCGUAUAAUUAUGAAAGCUAUAUGCGCUGUGAGAGAGCUUUGCGUCCCAUUAGCUAGUUGGAGAGGUAACGGCUCACCAAGGCGAUGAUGGGUAGCCGGCCUGAGAGGGUGGUCGGCCACAAGGGGACGGAGAAACGGCCAUUCCUCUUCCGGGAGGAAGCAGUGGGAAAAAUUGGAAAAUGGACCAAGAGUGUGAUAGAGAAAUUCUGUGUGGAAGAUGAAGUUUUUCGGAAUGAAAAGCGUUCUCAGUUGAGAAGAAAAAAAUGACGGUACCAACAGAAGAAGCGACGGCUAAAUACGUG